This 254-nucleotide ribosomal RNA is filed under the name uncultured bacterium. Its description in RNAcentral is "partial 16S ribosomal RNA". It matches the Rfam family "Bacterial small subunit ribosomal RNA", at positions 524 to 777 of the family's 1533-position model. The record is from RNAcentral.
GACGAACCGUGCAAACGUUAUUCGGAAUCACUGGGCAUAAAGGGCGCGUAGGCGGCUCCAAAAGUCAGGGGUGAAAUCCGGCAGCUUAACUGUCGCAGUGCCUUUGAUACUGUGGAGCUAGAGGGAGGUAGGGGUCUGUGGAACUUCCGGUGGAGCGGUGAAAUGUGUUGAUAUCGGAAGGAACGCCGGUGGCGAAAGCGAUCCGCUGGACCUCUUCUGACACUGAGGCGCGACAGCGUGGGGAGCAAACAGGG